This 253-nucleotide ribosomal RNA is filed under the name uncultured bacterium. RNAcentral describes it as "partial 16S ribosomal RNA". It matches the Rfam family "Bacterial small subunit ribosomal RNA", at positions 524 to 776 of the family's 1533-position model. The record is from RNAcentral.
UACGAAGGGGGCUAGCGUUGUUCGGAAUCACCGGGCGUAAAGCGCACGUAGGCGGAUGUGUCAGUCAGGGGUGAAAUCUCGGAGCUCAACUUCGGAACUGCCUUUGAUACAGCACGUCUUGAGUCCGAUAGAGGUGGGUGGAAUUCCUAGUGUAGAGGUGAAAUUCGUAGAUAUUAGGAAGAACACCGGUGGCGAAGGCGGCCCACUGGAUCGGUACUGACGCUGAGGUGCGAAAGCGUGGGGAGCAAACAGG